RNAcentral lists this ribosomal RNA (250 nucleotides) under uncultured delta proteobacterium. RNAcentral's name for it is "partial 16S ribosomal RNA". It matches the Rfam family "Bacterial small subunit ribosomal RNA", at positions 524 to 773 of the family's 1533-position model. Lineage: Bacteria; Deltaproteobacteria. The record is from RNAcentral. RNAcentral also lists the same sequence under 1 other name.
UACGGAGGGUGCAAGCGUUGUUCGGAAUUAUUGGGCGUAAAGCGCGUGUAGGCGGUUUGUUAAGUCUGGUGUGAAAGCCCUGGGCUCAACCUGGGAAGUGCAUUGGAUACUGGCAAACUUGAGUACGGGAGAGGAUAGUGGAAUUUCGAGUGUAGGGGUGAAAUCCGUAGAUAUUCGAAGGAACACCGGUGGCGAAGGCGGCUAUCUGGACCGAUACUGACGCUGAGACGCGAAAGCGUGGGGAGCAAAC